AACGAACGCUGGCGGCGCGCCUAAUACAUGCAAGUCGAACGAGAAGCUGUAGCAAUACAGUUGUGCAGUGGCGAACGGGUGAGGAAUAUAUGGGUGACCUACCCUCGAGUGGGGAAUAACCAGCCGAAAGGUUGGCUAAUACCGCGUACGCUUCCCAGUCUACGGGUUGGAAGGAAAGCGAUGCCGUGGGUAUCGCGCUCAAGGUUGGGCUCAUGUCCUAUCAGCUGUUGGUGGGGUAACGGCUCACCAAGGCAACGACGGGUAGCUGGUCUGAGAGGACGAUCAGCCACACUGGCACUGCGACACGGGCCAGACUCCUACGGGAGGCAGCAGUAAGGAAUAUUGCGCAAUGGGCGAAAGCCUGACGCAGCGACGCCGCGUGGGGGAUGAAGGUC
Molecule: ribosomal RNA, 395 nt
Filed under: uncultured bacterium
Lineage: Bacteria
Description: bacterial SSU rRNA
Rfam family: Bacterial small subunit ribosomal RNA
Source: RNAcentral